This 277-nucleotide ribosomal RNA is filed under the name uncultured bacterium. RNAcentral's name for it is "partial 16S ribosomal RNA". It matches the Rfam family "Bacterial small subunit ribosomal RNA", at positions 337 to 630 of the family's 1533-position model. The record is from RNAcentral.
UCCUACGGGACGCAGCAGCGGGGGAUAUUGCCCAAUGGGGGGAACCCUGAUGCAGCGACGCCGCGUGGGUGAAGGAGUAUUUCGGUAUGUAAAGCCCUAUCGGCAGGGAAGAAUUUAGACGGUACCUGACUAAGAAGCCCCGGCUAACUACGGGCCAGCAGCCGCGGUAAUACGUAGGGGGCAAGCGUUAUCCGGAUUCACUGGGGGUAAAGGGAGCGUAGACGGCCAGGCAAGCCUGGGGGGAAAACCCGGGGCCCAACCCCGGGACUGGCCUGGG